AAGACAUUUAAUGUGCAUGAACAUAAAAUCUCAAUAUUGUCAAGAUAUAAUUUCUCCCCAAUUUGAGUUAUAGGCAAGAGAGUCACAUCAUCUGGGUGAUUGGCCAAACAUAUGUCACAAUCCCUUCCAUUGACAGCUCCCAAAAAAGGAGUUACAUCACCUAGGUGCUCAGCUCUGAGAUGUGUCACAACAUUGCCCAAUACAGGCAGGGCACAGGCGGGAGAGUCACAUUUCCUGGGUGCUUGGCCCAGUGGUAUGUCACAUUUCCUUAUGUAGGAAGGGCACACGUAGCAAAAGAGAGUCACAUUACCUAGGUACUGUGCUAGAGCUAUCAGUCUCUGUGUCAUUCAAUGUGAGAGUUAUGAUCUCUUUAGACAUCCAUGUAACAGAGCCUCAACUCCUUCAUCCUCAGAUGUAAAGGCUAGUGAAGACCAAAUAAGCCUUGAAAGGCUGGAGCCCAUGCGAGGGUCUGCAGUCUUUGUUCCGGAUGGGGAACUACUGCUUCAGCUGGUUACCCAGGUGCCCCGAUGGGGAAAGGAAGGAAAUGGUGAGAAUCUUCAGCACAGCGGAUCACAUCACCCUGGAAGAGACCAGUCCUGCCUGCGCAUAGCACAAGCAGCCGCAGGCUAGAGGCAGUCAUGUCAGGCCUCCUCCAUACAGCAUCUCUCCUGCUUUUUUUUCAAACGGCCCUAAUCACUUAAUUUGGUCAUCUUCCCUGUCACAAUGGGGCACCUGGCGCUAUAGACACUUGGGAAACACACAGAUCUGGGAUCCUACAUUGUCCAGGUGAAGACGCCGGGAGUCAGAGAGGAAAGUCUUUUGAAGCCUCCAAAAGGAAUGCACAGGACCCUACUUGAAGAGGUGGCGUGCCCAGUGGCGGAUACAGGCCCCACACAUCGCAGCAGUAAACAGGGACUCCACGGUGUCCAGCUCUCCAGCCUGGGGUUUCUCAUCACCCAGUGAUUCCAAAAGAAACGAUCUACAAUGGCAUGACUAAGUUCCAGAAACAAAUAAACAAAAUACUGAGGGAAGCCCAUUGGUCACUUUGAUUCUUCAAAGGUGACAAUUGUCCCUCCCUGAAAUCUUAUGAGUGCAUGAACAGACUAUUCUAAUGUAAAUGAAAUUCACACUAAAACUGAUUGAAAGAUGAUUCUGUUUCCAAGGUACUUUGUAUUCUCAAAUUGCAUCUGCUUACCCUGGCCCCCUCAAAAUGGAAGAGUGAUGACUAUUUGUCUUCGUAACACUGUGGGGACACAGAGCCUUAAAUGGAAGAGUGUCAAAAGCAACAUUCCAUAAAGGGCUGUCACUUCCAAUUUUCAAGCGAGGUUGGAAACCAACCAUGAUGUAUGAAACACUGUUGGCCAAAGUGCACAAUUAGUAAUACAAAAUGAAUAAUAUAAACUAUUGUAAAUAUGUGUAGACAUCGUGGCAAUUUGGACAUCAAAAACACUGCCAAAUUCAGAAAGAGGAAGCUGUAAACUCAUGGCUGUUAGGAAGCUUAACUUCUGUGUACUAGAACCUAUCAAAAUUAAAUUUCUCCAUGUCAAUCCGUCCAAACAAACAUUGAGAUGUUUAUUUCUAUAUAAUUCCUAUUGAAUCCUACUGGGUAGGACCCUUCUGGCCCCAUCCUCACAGCACUGGUGCAGUGAAACUGCACUUGCUCCUGCUUCCCCCUAUAUUGUUAGGAG
RNAcentral lists this long non-coding RNA (1688 nucleotides) under Homo sapiens (human). Its description in RNAcentral is "HSALNT0230016". Lineage: Eukaryota; Metazoa; Chordata; Mammalia; Primates; Hominidae. The record is from RNAcentral.